GCCCUGCUAACUAGUCCCAAACAGGACGAAACGGCUGUCCAGUGC
RNAcentral lists this non-coding RNA (45 nucleotides) under Echinostoma caproni. Lineage: Eukaryota; Metazoa; Platyhelminthes; Trematoda; Plagiorchiida; Echinostomatidae. The record is from RNAcentral.